AUGCUUGCAGCCAUAGAGGAGGUAUUUCCGUUGGCAGUGCACAGGCACUGCAGGUGGAACAUUAUAAAGAAGGCUGAAGAGACGCUAGGACCGUUCUUUGCUGACCGUCUAGAGAUCCACAAGGCGUUUGAGCUGUGCGUGGACCACAGCUUGACGGUGGAGGAGUUUGAAAGGAGCUGGAUGGCGAUGAUUGAAACAUAUCAAGUCCAAGACAACGAGACGCUUGCUAACCUGUGGGAGAAGCGAAUGUACUGGGUGCCAGCCUACUUCAUGCAGUGCUUCUUUCCCUUUCUGCAGACUACGCAGCGCAGCGAGGGGUUCAAUGCUGUUUUGAAGCGGUACGUGAGCCCUGGCAACUCAUUGCUACAGUUUGCCAAGCAGUACACAACUUUGCAACAAAAAAUUCUAGGAUCUGAGCUGCAGCAAGAAGCUACCACCGCGCUAAAGCAGCCGAAAUUGCUAACGUAUUUACCGAUGGAGAGGCAAAUGAGCAAGAUAUACACAAACAAGAUCUUUAACAAGUAA
Molecule: ribosomal RNA, 525 nt
Filed under: Triticum aestivum (bread wheat)
Lineage: Eukaryota; Viridiplantae; Streptophyta; Magnoliopsida; Poales; Poaceae
Description: partial small subunit ribosomal RNA
Source: RNAcentral